AAAAAUAAUAAUAAUCACAUACCAUAUUUACUUACAUCAUUUACCCCAUACUUUCACAAUAAUUUUACUAGUGAAACACAGGAAGGGGGAAAUUAUGUAGUAAUACUACCUUUGCAGAGGUAAUCUAAGGUAAUGUACAACAUCCAAAGGAUAGCUCCCUUCCGACCAGCUGCUGGGGUUUUGGCAUCAGGAUUCUUACUUGGCACAGGGUUGUUACUCAGUGGGAGCCACUGAAUCUACUAAUCAACAAGUAUUUAUUGAGUACCAGAAGAUGUUGAGAUGAUGUACCAAGAAGGGCCCUGGAGGACACAAAAGGACAAGUUAUGGACUGUAUCUUCAAGAUGCUUACAAUGUUGCUGGGAAAUGAGAAUAGUGGUUAACCUGUUUAUUCCUGAAAUAUUACUUUUCCCUAAGGUUUCUUUCAUAUGCUUUGGUUCUUAUUAUUUUUUACUAGAUCUAACUAGACCAAAAAAAAAAAUCUUGGAAGUUAUUUGGGAAGAAAAGAGAUUGGAGUCAAUGAAAUAAGUGCUCCCUACCCUCAGUAACCUUCAGAUUUUGUAUGAUAUUCAUUACUAAUAGCAGGCAUCAAUUGUAAAUUAAAUGUAUAUUUAUAAAAAAAAAUUAAUAUAGCCACUGUGAAGCCAUAGCCAGAGAGAAGACAAACUAUAAUUUCUCAAUCACUUUUCAAUGUCAAAGGGACUUUCUUGCCUAACAAUAACUAUGAAAAAUCAAUUCAAACUAUUUUAAGGUUGCAAAGUAACUUAAAAAAAAACAGGUAAAAAAAAAAAAAAACUUCAGGAUUCUAUGGGAAAAUAAACCUUUAUUUGAAAAUCAAUCUCUGGAACUUGAAAGUAAGACCACUUAUGGUUUUCUGAUGUAUAUGAUGAAAAAUGAUAUCAAGAAUUGUUAUAGAAAUAAAUUGCUGAAGACCCAAUUAUAAUUUCAGAGGACAUAACAUCAUAUGAUUUUCAUGUUGCCCCAUAGAUUAAAGAAAUGGUAUGAUAAAAGUUUACUACACAACUGAAGACAUGCAUUUUCAUCUCUAUAUUUAAUUGUGUGCUUGCAAGACAGUGUGACAAAGUAGACAGAUGUCCUAGAAUUUAGGAAGACCUGGAUUCAAGUUUUGUUUCAUACACUCACACAAACACAUUCUCUCUCUCUCUCUCUCUCUCUCUCUCUCUCUCUCUCUCUCUCUCUCUCUCUCUCACAAACACACACACACACACACAUGUUGGAGAAAUCACUUACACUCCAAAAUUGUCACUAGGCAACUAUAAAUUGCAAAACAGUGCCCACUGAACCAGUAAAAGGAUCUAUUUCUCUGGAAGGCUGUUCCCUACAUCAAUGAAAAUUAUAGAAUUAGAAAAAAAAAAUUUUUUUAAGUUCCAACAAUUCUUAUUUCACUACUUCAAGAAUCUAUAAUUUUUAAAAAGUGGGUCCAUCACCACUAAAAAUAGCCACUGUGAAACUUCAACUAGAAAGAAGACAAUCCUUUCUCAAUUGCUUUUCUAGAUCUCAUCUCCUCUAAAUUUAAUAGGUAAUCUUCAAGAGCUGCUGCAGCUGAAAAAUCUCUUCACCCUGUCUCUGGCCAAUAGGUUGAUAAGCCUUUGCAAACUUAGCUAGGUUGGUUUUCAGACAAUAGACAUAUAGUUCAUUAGCAGCCCACAAGUGAAGCCUUCCAUGUAUAACAGAAUCUGCCCCAGCUUGCACUUCACUGGGAUAAGCUUUCCAGGACCCAGAAUCAUCUUCAUUCCAAAAUAAGGCAUCAGAUCGGGACCUUUGUAUAGAUUUAAUUUCUUCAGAAAAGGGAAAAACAUUUUAAUUACUUCCAAGUAGGUAUCCAGAGACCUAAAGACAUGCUCACUUGGCAUAUUUGUUAAAUACAGAGUUUUAAUGCAGCAAGAUAACCUAUGGCAAAGGACAUUACUUUAGAAGGUACCUCACCUCAAAUAUAGAGUACACCAAAAAAUGAACAGACUGGUUGGUUACUUUAUUGAAUUUCCACAUAAAUCUAAGACUUAUUGAGAGCAAAUCAUUUCUUCUGGUCUCAAAGAAACAAAAGAGCCACUUCAAACUUAUUUCUGCCUGGCUAUUGACAUGAUUAGUAAUGUGGAGAAUAAAGACAAUACUCUAAAAAUUCAGAUUGUAGCAUAGAAGAAAAAAAUGAGCAGGAAAUAAUUAGAGAAACAUGAUAUAAACACAGUGUGUAGUGUAUAUUCCCAAUGCAAAUGACUUCUAAUGGAACUAGUUCUAAUUAGUUAACUAAAUUAAUCCAGAAAAAAUAUUUUUAUUGAUCUGAUAUACUUUCUCUAUGUGAGAUAUGGAAGACAAGUUUUUUUUUUUUUCCUGAAGAGGGCUGAAAAUCAAUGAAUUUCUUGCCAUAAAAUAACUUAUUCACUACUACUUGAAUGCCAAAGGUUUUCAUCAAAGAAGCUUCAGCAUUCAUUUUCACAGCAGAUAGCAUCUGAUAGAUAUAAAGUUUUUAUAUCUAUUCUCUCAAAUGAUUAAUGUGACAAGAAUAAUGGGUUCUUGAUGGGACAAAUAAACCUCACAUAGUAUAAUACAAAUCGGUGUUCCAUCUGGUGUAUGAGUAGAUGCUUUCAAAUUAACUUGAAAUAAAAAUGGUCAACUGGGGCAACUCAUUUGUGAAAUAGUUUCCAUAUAUAUAUAUAUAAAUAUAUAUACACACAUUCCAGUUAGUUCUCCAUCGAAGUGAGGAGAAAUUUCCUAAUCAACUGAAAUGAAAUUUCACUUAUCAGAAUUAAUAAUAGUUGCUUCCAAACUUAUUUAUUGGUUGUGUUACUUAUUUGCCUAAAUUUGUAUAUUAGCAGGCAUAAGCUUCUAAUGUGUAGAUGGCGGGGAGGGAGAGGAAAAAUCCUAUGCAAGUACUGUUUGUUCUACAAUGGUGCUAAUCUCAUAGCAAAAUGAUGAAUUUUUUCACUUAAUUUAAAAACAGAGUUUAAAAUAAUUAUCUAUAUGUGUGUGUUUCCCCUUUGAGUGUUAUAUGUUAUACUUUUGCUUUGGUGUAAAAGCAGACCUAACAUGAAUCUGUUCUGAA
Long non-coding RNA from Sarcophilus harrisii (Tasmanian devil), 3058 nucleotides. The record is from Ensembl. NCBI's taxonomy places the organism in Eukaryota, Metazoa, Chordata, Mammalia, Dasyuromorphia, Dasyuridae.